UGUUGGGGUAACGGCCCAACAAGCCAUUGAUCGGUACGGGUUGUGGGAGCAAGAGCCCGGAGAUGGAUUCUGAGACAUGAAUCCAGGCCCUACGGGGCGCAGCAGGCGCGAAAACUUUACAAUGCGAGCAAUCGUGAUAAGGAAACCCUGAGUGCCUGUCAAUGCAGGCUGUUCUGGUGUCUAACACACACCAGGAGAAAGGGCGGGGCAAGACCGGUGCCAGCCGCCGCGGUAAUACCGGCUGCUCGAGUGAUAGCCGCUUUUACUGGGCUUAAAGCGUUCGUAGCUUGGUCGUUAAGUCUCUGGGGAAAUCUUUUGGCUUAACCAAAAGGCGUCUCAGGGAAACUGGCGAUCUUGGAACCGGGAGAGGUAAGACGUACUUCGGGGGUAGGAGUGAAAUCUUGUAAUCCCCGAGGGACGACCGAUGGCGAAGGCAUCUUACCAGAACGGCUUCGACAGUGAGGGACGAAAGCUGGGGGAGCAAACCGGAUUAGAU
Molecule: ribosomal RNA, 496 nt
Filed under: uncultured microorganism
Description: bacterial SSU rRNA
Rfam family: Archaeal small subunit ribosomal RNA
Source: RNAcentral